UUUUACGACGAUUUAAUCCUACGUGGACUUUACGACGAUUUCAUCCUACGUGAACUUUACGACGAUUUCACCUGCGUGGACUUUACGACGAUUUCAUCCUACGUGGACUUUACGACGAUUUGUGCUUACGUGGAAAUUGCGAGGAAUCACAAAGGCCCGUGUUUUUUAAUACGAGGUAUUAACGAUGAUUUAGCUUACGUGGAAUUAACGAGGCUUGCUUUCCUAUAAAUAUACCCUCAACCCUCAUUCUCAAACCACACACAAACUCCCAAAUUACACCCUAUCUGAAAUCACAUUCCUUAGCAAAAUCCUAUUCAAAUUAUAAAUAUUUGAAAAAAAUAGGAAAAGGAUAAGAUAUUAGAAUUCAUGUGGGCGAGACUUACGUAUUAUAAUUGCUGGAAGUCUUGCCACAUGUUAUUCUGGUAUUUUGAUCCUUUUCCCUUUUUUUCUAGUUUUUACACUACGAGGUAUUUACGACGAUUUCUGCUUACGUGGAAUUAACGAGUGUUUUGUUUAAAUCCUUUUACGUGGUAUUUACGACGAUUUCAUCCUACGUGGUAUUUACGACGAUUUCAUCCUACGAGGAAUUUACGACGAUUUGUGCUUACGUGGAAUUAACGAGGUUAUGUUUAAAUCCCUAGAAUCCGAAACCCGAAACCCGAAACCCCAAACCCGAAACCCCAAACCCCAACCCCCAAACCCAAAACCCAAAACCCGAAACCCCAAACCCGAAACCCGAAACGAGUGUUAUGUUUAAAUCCCUAGAAUCCGAAACCCGAAACCCGAAACCCCAAACCCGAAACCCCAAACCCCAACCCCCAAACCCAAAACCCAAAACCCGAAACCCCAAACCCGAAACCCCAAACCCCAACCCCCAAACCCAAAACCCAAAACCCGAAACCCCAAACCCGAAACCCGAAACGAGUGUUAUGUUUAAAUCCCUGAAUCCAAAACCUGAAACCCGAAACCCCAAACCCCAUAUUUCUUAUUUUCUACUUCAUAUAUUCCAAACCCCAUCUUUAUUUCCAUUCCAAACCACAAUUCCCACAUUUGCUUAUUCAUAAAACAUACUCCCACAUUACCUUAUUCAUAAAACAAACCCCACAUUAUCUUA
This 1114-nucleotide long non-coding RNA is filed under the name Brassica napus (rape). Its description in RNAcentral is "long non-coding RNA (BNAP_LNC009586)". The record is from RNAcentral. Lineage: Eukaryota; Viridiplantae; Streptophyta; Magnoliopsida; Brassicales; Brassicaceae.